This 399-nucleotide long non-coding RNA is filed under the name Ananas comosus (pineapple). RNAcentral's name for it is "long non-coding RNA (ACOM_LNC028864)". Lineage: Eukaryota; Viridiplantae; Streptophyta; Magnoliopsida; Poales; Bromeliaceae. The record is from RNAcentral.
GAAAAUUUAAUUUUUCAAAAAGAAAUCAUAAAAAAUAGACUAAAUUACAGAAAAACCCCUUAUAAAUAUUUACUUUUUUUCACUUUCCUUUCUACCUUUCAAAAAUCAAUAUUUUAUCCCCUCAAUAUUUCUGAUUAUUACACUUAGCCCCCCCUCCAUUACGGUUUUAUUACUAUUCUGUCUAUUUCUUAAAAUUUAUAUCAAAAAUAUUCUUCAAAAUGAUAGAAAUAUAAUAACUAAUUAUUUUUUUAUAAAAGAAGUAAGAAUAAUAUGGUGAUUUUACCCUUUUUAUUAAUGUUGUACCCUUCUGAAAAUAUUUCUGAAAUUUUAAUGUGUAAAAUAUAGAUUUUUAAAAAUCAGAGAGAAAAAUAGAGAAAAAUAAAAAAAAAUGAAUAUUUA